Molecule: ribosomal RNA, 254 nt
Filed under: uncultured bacterium
Lineage: Bacteria
Description: partial 16S ribosomal RNA
Rfam family: Bacterial small subunit ribosomal RNA
Source: RNAcentral
UACGUAGGGUGCGAGCGUUGUCCGGAAUUAUUGGGCGUAAAGAGCUCGUAGGCGGUCUGUCGCGUCGAUCGUGAAAACUUGGGGCUUAACCCUGAGCUUGCGGUCGAUACGGGCAUGACUGGAGUUCGGCAGGGGAGACUGGAAUUCCUGGUGUAGCGGUGAAAUGCGCAGAUAUCGGGAGGAACACCAGUGGCGAAGGCGGCGACCUGGGCCAAUAUUGACGCUGAGGUGCGAAAGCGUGGGGAGCAAACAGG